Molecule: ribosomal RNA, 254 nt
Filed under: uncultured prokaryote
Description: partial 16S ribosomal RNA
Rfam family: Bacterial small subunit ribosomal RNA
Source: RNAcentral
UACGUAGGGUGCAAGCGUUGUCCGGAAUUAUUGGGCGUAAAGAGCUCGUAGGCGGCUUGUCGCGUCUGCUGUGAAAUCCCGGAGCUCAACUCCGGGCGUGCAGUGGGUACGGGCAGGCUAGAGUGCGGUAGGGGAGAUUGGAAUUCCUGGUGUAGCGGUGGAAUGCGCAGAUAUCAGGAGGAACACCGAUGGCGAAGGCAGAUCUCUGGGCCGCUACUGACGCUGAGGAGCGAAAGCAUGGGGAGCGAACAGGA